CUCCUUCCAGCCACUAGAGGGCGACGGUUCUCCUUUCGCCGGGCUGCAAGCGGCUGCUGCAAGCUGGCUUGGCCAGACCAUUCCCCCCAGCAUCAGCACCAGAGCAUCCUUCAUCCCUGGUCCCCUCUUGUCCUCCUCCUGCUCCUCUUCCUUUGCCAGGCCAGGUGGUGCACUGGUCGGAUGGAUGGCUGCUCGCUACUUCCUGGGAGGAACCAUGAAGCAAAUUUGCUUCUGCGCCGCCUCCUCCUUCACGAGUCAGGACUGGAGCAAGAAUGACGAGAAGCUCCUCCAGGCUGUGGAGUACAAUGAUGCGGAUCGUGUCUCCUCUCUGCUGCUCAGGAAGGGCUUGGUCCCCACCAAACUGGACUCCGAGGGAAAAUCUGCAUUCCACCUGGCGGCCAUGAGAGGAAACGUGGAUUGCCUAGAAGUGAUGCUAGCCCAUGGGGCAGAUGCCAUGACCACCGACGGCUCAGGUUAUGCAGCACUGCACCUGUCAGCUAAACAUGGCCAUCCUCAGUGUGUGAGCAAGCUGUUGCAGGCAUCCUGCCCCGUGGAUAUGGCAGACGGCAGUGGAAGAACGGCGCUUCACCAUGCAGCUAUCAACGGAUGCAUCUCUUGCUUGGAGAUCCUUUGUGAUUUUAAGGCUCCCCUGAACACCAAGGAUCAGGACGGGGCGACCCCUCUGAUGCUCGCGGCCAAGAUGAGCCACUCGGAGCUUUGCCACUACCUGCUGCACCGCGGAGCUGCUGUCAACGCCAGAGACCAGCGGGGCCGAACAGCCCUGAUGGUGGCGUGUGAGAACAGCAGUGUGGAAACAGUGGAGGUUCUCAUCCAUGGUGGGGCACGCGUGGGCCUCAUCGACGCCACAGGACAUGAUGCCGCACACUACGGUGCAGCCACCGGCAAUGCCCUCAUUCAGCACUACCUGCAGGAGGCCGCCCAGCGUCGAUCUUGGGCCAGUGAAGAGGAAUCCGCUGAAUUAUCCUCACAGUCUUCCCAGCAAUCCCUCUCCAAAGGGAAAAACAGCAGCCCGAGAAAGAGAAAGGCCCCACCGCCACCUCAGAGCACUCCCAACCAGCAUGCUUCCCACCCAACAGACCAGGGCUCGUUUCCUGCAGAACGGAGCAACCCAGUGGUCACUGCCAAGCCGGCCAAGGGCCCCCCUGUGCCAGCUGACAUGAAUGACCGGGAGGCCUACGAGGAAAUUGUCCGGCUCCGGCAGGAGAGAGCCCAGCUUCUGCAGAGGAUCCGGAGCCUAGAGCAGCAGCAGAAGAAGCAGAGGCAAGAGAGACUGGAGCUGGAGGAUGACUCCGUGCAUACUCUGGAAAGACAGAUAGAAGACCUUCAGAAGCAAUUGGCAGAGAAAGCUGGCGAAAAGGAAAAUAUGGGGAAGGAACUGGAAGUAUUACGGAGCCGUCUGUCAUCUCUGGAGAAUGAGAAGGAAAACACCAGCUAUGACAUUGAAACGCUGCAGGACGAAGAGGGGGACCUGCUGGAGUUUCCAGGGGCUGAGUUGCUGCUGUCCAAAAAGAGCUUGAGCCUCUCUGCCGAGGAGCUGCUGGCCACCCUCCAGGGCCAAGUACAGUCUCUAACCCAGAAGAACCAAGAGCUGAUGGAGAAAAUACAGGUCCUGGAGAAGGACGAGAGCGAUGCUGAUGCCUCUGGCGACUUCAUCCCCAUCAUCCUGUAUGACUCACUCAGGUCCGAGUUCGACAGGCUGAAGGAGCAGUACGCCAAGGCGCAAGUGACCCUGAAGGCCCUCGAAGAGGCCGGGGGUGAGAACGCCUCCUGCAAGCUCGUCCCAGCCGAGGCUUACGAGCAGCUGAAGGCGGAGUACGAGGAGCAGAUCGGAGCCCUGAGAGAAGCCCUGGAGAAGAGCAGCUCCCUUGCUGACCUUUGCGGCAGAGAACAAGAGACGGGCACCUCUGGCUUGGGGAUGGAAGAGGAGGCAGAGCUGCUGGCCCAAGAGCUCAGCGAGACCCAGGAGAAAUACCAGGCCGCUCUGGCUGAGGUGAAGCUCCUUCAAGAGCAGAUUGAGCUCAGCAUCCUCUCUGUGGAGGAGAAAGUGAUCGUGGAGAGCUCCCGAGCGGAACUGGAGACGGUGAAGGCCGCUCUGCAGCAAGCCCAAGAGGACCUCAAGGAGCGAGAGCAGGAGGUGAGGGACCUGGAGGAACGGCUGGAGGCCCAGGAAGUGGCCGCAGCCGCUGCGGGAGCUACGCAGGGCUGCUCUGCUGAGGCGUAUGAGGAGAUGAAGGCCUCCCUGGGCUCCUCCUUGGAUGAGGCCUGUAGGGAGAAGGAGGCCCUGCUGGCGAGAUGCGCCUCUGCUGAGGCAGAAGUGAAGGAGCUGAGAGAAUCCUUGGAGGAGAAGAGCCGUGAGUUAGAAAAGAGCCAAGGAAGCCUGUCAGAGAGCCAGAGGCUCCAAGAGGAGGCCGAGAAGCUAAGGAAGCAGCUGGGGGCUGUAACAAGGCAGUACGAGGACGUGAAGGCCCAGGUGGAACAGCUCCAAGGAGAACGCAAGAAGCUGGAGAAGGAGCUGCAUGAAGCCAAGGAGAAGGUGGCCUCCCAAUAUGUCUCCAAGCAAGAGCACAAAGAGUCGAUGGGGAAGCUGAGCGCCUCCCUUUCUGAUGCUGAAAGGAGGCUGUCGGAGCUGAAGGAGAAGCACAGCACCACCCAGAAGGAGCUGGCGGACCUGCGGAAGUCGGCCGAAGGCUACAGACAAGAUUCGGUGCCCCUGGCCGAGCAUGCCCGUGCCAAGGAGAUCCUGGAAGGCAGCGUGUGGGAGCUGAAGGCCAAGGCCAACCUGGCGGAGCAGGAGCUGAGGGCCAAGACCCAGGAGGCCUCGCGCCUGCAGGCCGAGCUGGAUGCCAUCCGGCAGGGCUCUGUUUCCAAGGAGGAGCAUAAGCAGCUGCAGCUGAGCCUGCAGGGCGAAGUGGACGGGCUGAAUGCCAAGCUGAGCGACCUGGGGCGCAAGCAUGAGCGCACCUGCACUGAGGUCUUCCAGGUGCAGCGGGAAGCCCUCUUCAUGAAGAGCGAGAAGCACGCAGCCGAAGCACAGCUGGCAACGGCACAGAAGCAGCUGCAGAGCCUGCAGGCCGAGUCAGCCCGGAUCCAGGAGCUGCACAGCCACAUUGAGGACUCGGCCAAGCUGGUCAAAGAGAAGGACAAGAAGAUCACAGAACUUUCCAAGGAAGUUUUCAAGUUGAAAGAAGCCCUGAAUGACCUGUCGGAGCUCUCUGGCCAGGCAGGGGCUUUGCCCAAGGCAGCCUCCCCACAGAAGACGGAGAACAGGCAGGAGGUGGCCGCCCUCCAGGGCAAAAUCAAAGACCUGGAGCAGCAAUUGGUGGAGACUGAGCGACGCCACACGAAUGUGGUUUCUUUGUACAGGGGGCACCUCCUCUAUGCCAUCCAGUACCUCUCCGGAUGCGGCUUUUGGUGGGGGGGGGGAAGUCAAUCUCCUCCCCCGGGUUCUUAAAGGCAGCAGUUUGGAAAGAAGGAAGGGGCGGGACAGCCCAGUGGAGCAGACCCGGCGCCAGAUUUCCGGGAGGCUGGAAGGGCCACAUGGACGAGGACAUCCAGAGGAUUCUGUUCCAGAUUCUGAAGAUGCAAAGGCUGCAGGAGCAAGGGAGAUGAGCGUGCGGAGGACAGACUGUGCAUUUUGGCAGGGGUUGGGUGGGUGGAAGGUGGAGCUAUUCCUUAUGGCAAAUUAUCCAGACUUUCUGGACCUCUUGGCCCUCACACCAGCCAGCCCGCCAGCCUCAAGUGUGUCAUGGGUUCUUCUCACCUGAUUCCCUCCAUAACACAGGCCUCCUCGCCUCUUUUGAGAUAAUUGUGCAUCUUCUGCCCAGGAUGGAGUCUCCAUUGUUCCACCAUUCCAAUCACCUUCGUUUUUCUGCCCUCGGACAGUAUUUGCCACAGAAGUGGUGGUCAGUCUUGAGUCCCCUGCCUUUUAACAGCUGCACAGAAGACAAAAAUUCACAUGGUGCAACUGUUUCCAAUAAUGGUACCUCCAUGCUUGGUAAAGCUGUAUCUGUUGAAUUUCUGCCUGCCUCGACAGUGUUAAAAGCACAGACGCAUUAUUAGUGGGGGACAGGAGGAGGAGGCAAACUUUGAUAGAAGGGUGCUUGUGCAGAUUAGUCCCCAUAGGGGGAGUUGUGGUUCACUCCCUGCCCUGAGGAUCCAGUGAGGUGAUGUGAUCAGAGAGUCAGGCUAUGACUAAGGAGAGCUGGGUUCAAAUCCUCCCCCUGCCACAAAGCUCACCUUGGCCAGUCAUUGCCGCCUAGCCUACCUUUCAGGGUUUAUUUUAUUAUUUAUUUAACAUAUCUUUCUACCGCCCAAAACGCAAGUUCUCUGGGAGGUUUACAAGACAAUAAAAACUAAUAAAAAGAUUAAAACAUUUCAACAAUUAAGAUUUAAAAAGUUAAAACUAUUAACACAAUUAACACAGUAUCGAAUUAAAAGCCUGGGUGAACAAAUGCAUCUUGACUGCCCUUUUAAAAGUUGUAAGAGAUGGGGAGGCUCUUGUUUCAGCAGGAAGUGUGUUCCAAAGCCUCGGGGCAGCAAUGGAGAAGGCCUGUCCCUGAGUAGCCACCAGACGAGCCGGUGGCAACUGCAGACAAACCUCUCCUGAUGAUCUCAAUGGGCGGUGUGGUUCAUAGCAAAGAGGACGUUCUCUUAAAUACCCAGGGCCCAAGCUGUUUAGGGUUGUCGUGGGGAUUACCGUGUGUGCCACUCUGUGAGCUCUUUGGAUAUAGGAUUACACAAAAUUGAAUAAAGAAACAAUAUGAAUGUUGACUGUGAGGGGAGACACUCAAAAUGGAGGCAGGCUUUCCUCAUGACUGUUUGUAGGCAUGAUUUCACAGGAGUGCUGAAACUUCACCAGAGGUGAUCUGGGAGGCAAAAUCCAACUCCCUGAGAACCUCAGCUUCCAUUUAAAAAUGAAGAGCAAGGUUGUAACUCUGACGGAUGUGCAGGUUUGUGGGCCAGAGUCAUGAAGGGGGACAGACAGAGAUUUCCAGGGGAUAGGAAGUGGCAAUGGUAUUGCGUAGUUCCUCCUCCUCUCCAAUAGCAGAUAGUGGCUGACAUGAUAUGCAGCCUGCUGCCUCCACAAGGAUCCGCUAUGAGACUCUCACAGACUUCAAAAGGAAGCUCCCAGUGCUGCCCUGAGGCACCAAUUAUGGAAGCUGCCCAAAUGUCUCAAAUGGGGAAACCUGCAGAAAUACAGAUUCCACAAUCGCUGCCUCAGGACAGCAUCAGAGCUUCCUUUGAAAUCUGCAGGCGCUCCACAGCGGAUCCUUACAGAGAGGCUGUGAAUCAUGUCAGCCCCUGAAAGUAAUCAUUUGUCAGAUUCAUCAAGGAAUGUUCGAUUUCUGGUCAGACUGGAUCUGACAGUUUUGGGGGCCCUGUCAGUCCUGUCACAUCUUAUGGGAUUGGAUCUGACCAUUCUCAGCGUGCCCAGACCGAAUACGUAGUUUGCCUGUGCUAGAACUUUUCUUGCUAAAUUACUAUGUGUCAGCCUGCUGCAGUUAAUGGCUCAAGGGUAGGGCCAAUGGAAAAAAUCAGCAUUUUAAUUUUUUUUUUUUUUGCAUUAAAAAAACCCCUUUCUGUUCUAAUUCAAGAAUAUUUGGAUGUCCAUACCUGGUGCAAGGUAUAGGUUGUGGCAGGGAAAGAAGGCUGCAGGUUCAUUGUUAUUCUUACAGUGCAGAGGCAGAAGGAUACAGAGGGAAAUUCACCUUGUUGCUGUCUGUCUCUCUUCUCAUGGUCCACAGCAAUAAAGUCUUGGUGCUCACA
This is an RNA transcript of Hemicordylus capensis (graceful crag lizard), 5787 nucleotides long. It is a transcript of the gene named ankyrin repeat domain 24, with no coding region annotated. NCBI's taxonomy places the organism in Eukaryota, Metazoa, Chordata, Lepidosauria, Squamata, Cordylidae. The transcript has 21 exons. The record is from RefSeq and is a predicted model, not a curated record.